UACGUAGGGCGCAAGCGUUAUCCGGAAUUAUUGGGCGUAAAGAGCUCGUAGGCGGUUUGUCGCGUCUGCCGUGAAGGUCCGGGGCUCAACUCCGGAUCUGCGGUGGGUACGGGCAGACUAGAGUGAUGUAGGGGAGACUGGAAUUCCUGGUUUAGCGGUGAAAUGCGCAGAUAUCAGGAGGAACACCGAUGGCGAAGGCAGGUCUCUGGGCAUUAACUGACGCUGAGGAGCGAAAGCAUGGGGAGCGAACAGG
RNAcentral lists this ribosomal RNA (253 nucleotides) under uncultured bacterium. RNAcentral's name for it is "partial 16S ribosomal RNA". It matches the Rfam family "Bacterial small subunit ribosomal RNA", at positions 524 to 776 of the family's 1533-position model. The record is from RNAcentral.